ACAACUACAAUGGCAAAUGCAAAAGCAAACUGCCAAUCAAAUUGUCAGUCAAGUGGAAAAGAGCAAAAACUGCAACACGAGCGGGCCAGCGAAGAAAUUUCCACAAGGCGAAACUUCUCGCUCUUCCCCAUCACAGAACUGAAUACAACCGAAUAGAAUAGAACUGAACUGAACAGUAUAGAAUACAACCGAGAGAUCGGGCAGAAAACUAACACCCCGGCCAUAUAUUCCAUAUAGUAUAGAUGGGAUGUGUGCGAAACUUGGCAAAAACAAAUAGUGCAAAGACCUUGAAACGCUGCUGGGAUUGGAGGCAUCCGAAACAACAACAAAAUGCAAAAUCACCCUGGAAUAACCGGCAACAACUAAGCUAAAAAAAAAAAAAAAAUACGACAACAACAACAACAAGCUAAACAACAAAAAUUACAAAAUGCAACACGCAAACUUAGAACCGAAACGAGCGAAACAAAUCGACAGGCGGAUGGAACGGCAACAAUGGCAUCAGCCGCAGCGCGGUUAAAAAUAAAGAAAUAAAUAAACAAAAAAUACUUGCAACUACAUAUUUCUAAAGAAACCACUGAGAACUUUGCCUCAGCAUCGACGACGAAUUGGAAUGACCCUUUUAACCAUUGAUAAUCAAAAGUUUUGAUAAGAAAACAGUGAAGAAUUUCAGAAAAAAAUAUUAAAUUGUAUUGUAGCAUUACAGCAUUUAUCACGACUUAAAACACGGUUUAUGUUCACUUAAGCAAAGUAAAAUCAU
This is a non-coding RNA of Drosophila melanogaster (fruit fly), 757 nucleotides long. NCBI's taxonomy places the organism in Eukaryota, Metazoa, Arthropoda, Insecta, Diptera, Drosophilidae. The record is from Ensembl.